UUCAUCAGCAGCAAAACCUGGUUUUAGACUUCUUUGUCUUGUAGGAAGCCUCCUAUCAGACUCUCUGCCUGGCCUGAGAUAUCCAGUUAACACCUGCAAUUCAGAAUACCCUCUCACCCAGCAAUAAAGCAUCCAGCCUUUGCAUCUGUAACAACCUCCUCUGUAAUUUGUGCAUUCUAUGGAUGCUCCAAAUCAUAAUACAAUCCAUCCAUGACUUCAGACAGAUGAAAACAGUUCCUUCUAAAAAAAGAGGCUAAUGUUUUUAAAAGACAGUAAGAGAAGAAUGUCAGCUCCCCAUGGCUGCAGUAGAAAGUGCUGGAUGAGAGGAGCAUCUCCAGAGCAUGGAAGACAAAGCAGCUUUAUCCUCACCUUUUCCACCUCAAUUUCCAUUUUCCUCCAAGGCAAAACUCCCACUCCUGGCAGAUUAAAUGAAAUGAAGACACUGAGCUCUGCAAGUACACUGCUUUUUGAAUCCCAGAGGGGAUGAUGUAGCAAGAAGGCCCUCACCAGAUGCUGGCUCCUUGAUGUUAGACUUCCCAGUCUCCACAAUGUGAACUUGCUUGUCAAAUGCCUCUUUAAAAAGCAAGUGAAGAUAAUUGCAAGUCAGCUGGAAGUGCUGCCAAGAUAUGACCUCCAGGAAGGCCCAGAAGACAAGUGAUAUUGUGUGGACUGCUACAGCGCAAUGUCUAACUGAUGCAAAAUGAAGAAUCAAUUUGAAAUUAAGAUGAGUAAAGGCAUCCAGCACUUACAGCAAAAAACAUUGUCAUCAGGCCCUGGGGAGAUGAGGACACCUCCCUUCCCUUCUCAGGCUCCCUUUCCCUAUCAGACUCUAGCUCUCAAAGGCUGUCAUCCUCCAAGGGUAUUCCCUAAGUACUGCAUAGCAUCUCUGUUACCCUUUGAAUUCAACAGUAUUGAUCUCCUCCAACAUUCAUUCAUUCCUUUAGUCAAAAGUCAGCUGUCAAACACAAGGCACAAGUGCACAUUUAAGGAAUUCAUGGCCAAUAUUUGUCCUGUCAUUUCAUGAAUUGUCUGAGAAACAUAAAACAUACAAUGAGGAUACUGAUCCAAGAUACAUGGCACACAAUUAAAUUGCGAAAAACAUGACUCUGAGUCCAAAAGUUCUUAUUUUUUCACAGUCUUCAGAGUAUUGUAUAGACCCCUUGAAAAAUAAAUUUGCAGAGUGUGAAUGUUAAUUACUGUCACCUUCAGAAAAGAGAUUUUCCACAUUUAUAAAAGAGAAAUAGUGACUAUUCUAGAUAAUAGAGCACAGAAAGAAUUCUCAAACUAGUAUAACCCUAUUUCUCUAUACUACAAAGACAUCUUGUAGGCAUGUUCCUCUGAAGGACUUGAGAAUUAUGCUUUUUUUCCUCCUUGUCUCUCUAAAAGCAAAAAGCACAGUAAUCUUGCUGAAGUAUAAUCAAAACAGAGCCUGAUGUGAAACCAGAGCCUUGAGUUUUCAUCCUGCAUUUGUUACUUAAAAGCUGACAUAAGAAAAAUUAUUUAACUUCUCUUAACCUCAGUUUCUUAUCUAUAAAAUGGGAUUAUAAAAUGUAUCUCACAAGGUAGUUAUGAGGAUUAAAGGAAAUGAAAAAAAUGCUUAUUUGGUUUUGAAUCCUGGUUUGGUCUAGCUAUCAA
Molecule: long non-coding RNA, 1635 nt
Organism: Pan troglodytes (chimpanzee)
Lineage: Eukaryota; Metazoa; Chordata; Mammalia; Primates; Hominidae
Exons: 5
Source: RefSeq, a predicted model, not a curated record